This is a ribosomal RNA of 437 nucleotides. It matches the Rfam family "Bacterial small subunit ribosomal RNA", at positions 341 to 792 of the family's 1533-position model.
ACGGAAGGCAGCAGUGGGGAAUAUUGGGCAAUGGGCGAAAGCCUGACCCAGCAACGCCGCGUGAAGGAAGUAGGUCUUCGGAUUGUAAACUUCUUUUAUCAGGGACGAAGGAAGUGACGGUACCUGAUGAAUAAGCCACGGCUAACUACGUGCCAGCAGCCGCGGUAAUACGUAGGUGGCAAGCGUUAUCCGGAUUUACUGGGUGUAAAGGGCGCGUAGGCGGGGAUGCAAGUCAGAUGUGAAAUCUAUGGGCUUAACCCAUAAACUGCAUUUGAAACUGUAUCUCUUGAGUGCUGGAGAGGUAGACGGAAUUCCUUGUGUAGCGGUGAAAUGCGUAGAUAUAGGGGAGAACACCGGUGGCGAAAGCGGUCUACUGGACAGUAACUGACGCUGAGGCGCGAGAGCGUGGGGAGCAAACAGGAUUAGAUACCCUGGUA